CACCAGGUCAGGACACGGUAAGGAUUGACGGACUGAAGGCUCUUUCUCGAUUCCGUGGAAAGUGGUGCAUGGCCGUUUUUUGGUUGGUGGAUCGAUCCGUCUGGUUAAUUCCGUUAACGAACGAGACCUCGGCACUCCGAAUAGCGCGGCGGACGUCGCGGCCUCCGGGCCGUCUUCCGCACGAGCUUCUUAGAGGGACCGUCCCCCGCCGGGGGAAGGAGGUGCGAGGCAACGACAGGUCUGUGAUGCCCUUAGAUGUUCUGGGCCGCACGCGCAUUACACUGACGCGUCCAACGGGUGACUCCCGACCCGAAGGGGCCGGGGAAUCCGCAAGGCGCGUCGUGAUGGGGAUUGAACGUUGCAAUUGUUGUUCACGAACGAGGAAUUCCUAGUAGGCGCGGGUCAUCAACCCGCGCCGAUUACGUCCCUGCCCUUUGUACACACCG
This 446-nucleotide ribosomal RNA is filed under the name uncultured eukaryote. RNAcentral describes it as "bacterial SSU rRNA". It matches the Rfam family "Eukaryotic small subunit ribosomal RNA", at positions 1216 to 1671 of the family's 1831-position model. The record is from RNAcentral.